Poecilia reticulata (guppy) is the source of this 577-nucleotide long non-coding RNA. RefSeq lists it as uncharacterized. The record is from RefSeq and is a predicted model, not a curated record. Lineage: Eukaryota; Metazoa; Chordata; Actinopteri; Cyprinodontiformes; Poeciliidae.
CUUUGCACUCCACUGGUUUGGGAUGUUUAAAACAACGCUCAGUAACAGAAUUGUGCGGGUUAAUACAGACAAAAAAGUUUUGGAAACCAAUCCUUCGUGAUAUCACCUUCAUUCUCGUUUAAGAGGCUUCACACACUUCCUAGCUCCACUUGUUGCCCAGUGUCGUGUUCAGUAGGACACAUGCAGAAGGAAAAGAGGUCAGGCGAGAGAGAAGGACAAACAGAAGACGCAGACGCUGGGUCUCAGCUGGGAGAACAGCUGGACCUGGCACAGAAACCUGCCAUUAGCUACACUCAGCCAGCUAAACACAGCUCUGCCUCUAAGGAAGCUGGCAAACUGCGGCUCAUCCUGCCGUGUGGUGUUCGUCUCAGUCUUCAGAGGCACUGAAACAAACCCAAGAUAAAAUAAACAAAGAAGAAACGUAGGAGACCUGUAGAACCUACUUCUGCUGCAUAAUGAGGAGAUGGAGACGUCUCCUCGUCUUGCUAGAGACACAUCUGACAUCACGCAGCUCAUUUCAAAGGUUUACUCAUUGUUCUCUCCUGACACAUGUGUGCUAGCACCAGAGCAGGGGAAA